UGACUGGGAUGAUCACUCGGUUGUCUGACACACUCAACAAUUUUCUUUUUUUUUUUUAGAUCAAAAGCGGGGAGACAGGAACCUAACACGACCGUGAUUAAUAACUUUGUGGUCUUCGGAUCCCACUAA
This 129-nucleotide microRNA precursor is filed under the name Paeonia lactiflora (Chinese peony). RNAcentral's name for it is "miR11607 stem-loop (pla-MIR11607)". The record is from miRBase by way of RNAcentral. Lineage: Eukaryota; Viridiplantae; Streptophyta; Magnoliopsida; Saxifragales; Paeoniaceae.